Molecule: ribosomal RNA, 401 nt
Filed under: uncultured bacterium
Lineage: Bacteria
Description: bacterial SSU rRNA
Rfam family: Bacterial small subunit ribosomal RNA
Source: RNAcentral
UGGGGAAUAUUGGACAAUGGGCGCAAGCCUGAUCCAGCAAUGCCGCGUGAGUGAUGAAGGCCUUAGGGUUGUAAAGCUCUUUCGGCGGGGACGAUGAUGACGGUACCCGCAGAAGAAGCCCCGGCUAACUUCGUGCCAGCAGCCGCGGUAAUACGAAGGGGGCAAGCGUUGUUCGGAAUUACUGGGCGUAAAGGGCGCGCAGGCGGCCUGACAAGUCAGAUGUGAAAGCCCCGGGCUCAACCUGGGAAUGGCAUUUGGGACUGUCGGGCUAGAGAUCGGGAGAGGAGAGUGGAAUUCCCAGUGUAGAGGUGAAAUUCGUAGAUAUUGGGAAGAACACCGGUGGCGAAGGCGGCUCUCUGGACCGAUACUGACGCUGAGGCGCGAAAGCGUGGGGAGCAAAC